This 407-nucleotide ribosomal RNA is filed under the name uncultured prokaryote. Its description in RNAcentral is "bacterial SSU rRNA". It matches the Rfam family "Archaeal small subunit ribosomal RNA", at positions 339 to 747 of the family's 1478-position model. The record is from RNAcentral.
GCGAGAAAACUUUGCAAUGUGCGAAAGCACGACAAGGUUAAUCCGAGUGGUUUCUGCUAAAGGAACCUUUUGUCGGUCCUAGAAACACCGAUGAAUAAGGGGUGGGCAAGUUCUGGUGUCAGCCGCCGCGGUAAAACCAGCACCUCAAGUGGUCAGGAUGAUUAUUGGGCCUAAAGCAUCCGUAGCCGGCUCUGUAAGUUUUCGGUUAAAUCUGUACGCUCAACGUACAGGCUGCCGGGAAUACUGCAAAGCUAGGGAGUGGGAGAGGUAGACGGUACUCGGUAGGAAGGGGUAAAAUCCUUUGAUCUAUUGAUGACCACCUGUGGCGAAGGCGGUCUACCAGAACACGUCCGACGGUGAGGGAUGAAAGCUGGGGGAGCAAACCGGAUUAGAUACCCGUGUAGUCC